RNAcentral lists this long non-coding RNA (1092 nucleotides) under Zonotrichia albicollis (white-throated sparrow). Its description in RNAcentral is "lncRNA (ENSZALG00000007839.1)". Lineage: Eukaryota; Metazoa; Chordata; Aves; Passeriformes; Passerellidae. The record is from RNAcentral.
AUGAAGUGGAGCGUGCGGGGAGCCUGCGCCGCGCUCUCCAGCUGCCUCCUGCUCGCCUGCGCCCUCAGCGCCGCCGCCGUGGGCCUCAAGUGCUUCUCGCUGGGCUCCGAGCUCAAGGGCGAGCCCUUCCGCUUGGGCACCGCCGCCGGCGCCUUCUACUCGGGGCUGCUGCUGGCCGCCGGCCUCUCGCUGCUCGCCGCUGCGCUGCUCUGCUGUCGCCCGCCCGACGAGGCGCCCGUGGCGCCGGCUCCGGCACCGGCCCCAGCGCCGGCACCGGCCUCUGCUUUGGCCCCCGCCGGGGACCCGGACCCGGCCAGCGGCGGCCCCGGCGGGGCGGAGGCGGCGGCCGCGCCGUCGGGGCCGGUGGAGAAGGCGUCGCCCGGGGGGCGGCAGAACUUCCUGCUUCUGGGGGUGCUGGUGUUCAUGCUGGGCGUGCUGAGCGCCUUCGCCGGCGCCGUCAUCGACGGCGACACCGUGUCGCUGGUGGAGAGGAAGUACUCGCACUAUUGCCUGCUGCAGCCCGGCGGCGCGGCCCGCCCGCGGAGCGGACCCGCGGCCCCCGACGGCACCGCCGCGGCGCUCCGCUGCCAGAAGCUGCGGGACUACCAGCAAGGCUUGGUGCUCUCCACCGUUUUCAACGCGCUGGAGUGCCUCCUGGGCCUGCUUAACCUGCUUCUUGUCAAGAACUACAAGGCCGCGCAGCAGCGCGGACGGAGGCGGCGGCGGCGGCGAGCGGCCCCGGCCGCGGCGGCGGCGGGCGGGCGGCGGCGACGGCGGAGGGGCGGCGGCGGUGGGCGGCGGGCGCCGCGCCACAGCCAGGGCUCCCUCUUCUCCGGCGGCGAGCCCGAGCUCAGCCCCGGGGAUUGCCCCUUCCAGGCCGUCUCCUACAUCAACGUGGGCGUCUUCCACGUCUUCGACGAGGCCGGCGUGGAGGUGCACUGUGGCGGACAUCCCUCCGUCGAGCUGCCCGGCUACUCGCCCAUGGACCCCGAGCUCAACGCCUCCUAUCCCUACUGCUACCCUCUGCCCUGCGAGCAGCCCCCCGCCUACGAGGAGAUCUACCCCGGGGAGCCCUGCGCUCACGGCACCUAG